UACAGAGGAGCCAAGCGUUGUCCGGAUUGACUGGGCGUAAAGCGCACGCAGGCGGAUGCGCGCGUGGGGUGUGAAAUCUGGCCGCUUAACGGCCAGGCGCCAUCCCAUACGGCGCGUCUGGAGUGAUGCAGAGGUCGGUGGAAUUGCCGGUGUAGUGGUGAAAUGCGUAGAGAUCGGCAGGAACACCCAGGGGGAAACCAGCCGACUGGGCAUCUACUGACGCUGAGGUGCGAGAGCGUGGGGAGCGAACAGG
RNAcentral lists this ribosomal RNA (253 nucleotides) under uncultured bacterium. RNAcentral's name for it is "partial 16S ribosomal RNA". It matches the Rfam family "Bacterial small subunit ribosomal RNA", at positions 524 to 776 of the family's 1533-position model. The record is from RNAcentral.